AAUCAUAUCAUAGAUCUUAGCAUGGUAGUUUAGAUUAGAUCUUGUGCAUGUAAUAUAGGUUAAAUUGUUUAAUCUAUCAAGAUCCGCUGUAAAAUUUUAAAAUUGCAUGCAUAGAACCAAUAUUUUCUUCAAUUGGUAUCAGAGUCUCAUUUAAUAUGAUAUAAUUUCUUAUAUAUUUAGAUCUAAUUUUAUGGUAUUUAGAUUAGAUCUAAGUAAGUUUUUUUUUUAGAUCUGAUAUUUGAUCAGUCCUUAUAUGUUAGAUUAGAUGAUUUGAGUAGCAAAGUACUCAGAUUGGAUAAUCACCAAACCAUCC
This 313-nucleotide long non-coding RNA is filed under the name Elaeis guineensis (African oil palm). RNAcentral describes it as "long non-coding RNA (EGUI_LNC048005)". Lineage: Eukaryota; Viridiplantae; Streptophyta; Magnoliopsida; Arecales; Arecaceae. The record is from RNAcentral.